This 253-nucleotide unclassified non-coding RNA is filed under the name uncultured Myxococcales bacterium. Its description in RNAcentral is "contains 16S-23S intergenic spacer region". It matches the Rfam family "Bacterial small subunit ribosomal RNA", at positions 524 to 776 of the family's 1533-position model. Lineage: Bacteria; Pseudomonadati; Myxococcota; Myxococcia; Myxococcales. The record is from RNAcentral.
GACAGAGGGUGCGAACGUUGCUCGGAAUCACUGGGCGUAAAGGGCGCGUAGGCGGAGCAGGAAGUCGGAUGUGAAAUCCCUGGGCUCAACCUAGGAACUGCAUUCGAAACUCCUGUUCUCGAGUGAUGGAGAGGGAAGCGGAAUUCCCGGUGUAGAGGUGAAAUUCGUAGAUAUCGGGAGGAACACCAGAGGCGAAGGCGGCUUCCUGGACAUUGACUGACGCUGAGGCGCGAAAGCGUGGGGAGCAAACAGG